UACGAGGGGGGCGAGCGUUGUUCGGAAUUAUUGGGCGUAAAGGGCGCGUAGGCGGUGCGGUAAGUCGCCUGUGAAACCUCUAGGCUUAACCUAGAGCCUGCAGGCGAAACUGCCGUGCUGGAGUGUGGGAGAGGUGCGUGGAAUUCCCGGUGUAGCGGUGAAAUGCGUAGAUAUCUGCAGGAACACCCGAGGCGAAAGCGGCUCGCUGGAUCGCAACUGACGCUGAGGGACGAAAGCUAGGGGAGCAAACAGG
RNAcentral lists this ribosomal RNA (253 nucleotides) under uncultured bacterium. RNAcentral describes it as "partial 16S ribosomal RNA". It matches the Rfam family "Bacterial small subunit ribosomal RNA", at positions 524 to 776 of the family's 1533-position model. The record is from RNAcentral.